Onychostoma macrolepis is the source of this 1026-nucleotide long non-coding RNA. RefSeq lists it as uncharacterized. The transcript is spliced from 4 exons. Lineage: Eukaryota; Metazoa; Chordata; Actinopteri; Cypriniformes; Cyprinidae. The record is from RefSeq and is a predicted model, not a curated record.
UCAAUAAAUUCUGCUCCUUUUUUAUCAUCACUUCGUCUCCUGCUUCUGCUCUUCACUGGCUUUUUCCUCAGUCAACUUCUUGGCUGAUAGAAGACUGUUAAUAGAGUUUUGGGUAUGUUUGGGUACCAGACAAGACUUCUUUUUAACAGGUUUUGGGUAUUAGACUACUUUACUGAUGAGUUGUUCUGUUACCAGUCAAAUCAGAUAUGUUCUGACGGGAUCCGGGACUGGAUCUUAAUUAUCUGGCUUGGAGGCAUGAUCUAACACUAUGUUUUUGUAAGAAACAAAUCAAGAUGUUUUUGAUGUCAUAAAAUUUCUCCAAAUCUGUUGUGAUGAAGAAACAAACUCAUUUACAUCUUGGAUGACCUGAGGGGGGGGGUUAACCAUCCCUUACACAUUGACAUGCAUCUAGUCCUGCCUCAAAUUGACGGUGUUUGGCUCCAAGGAGUACUGGCAUGGAAUUGAAUAAUCACUUUGGAAAUCCUAAGAGCUUAAAUCAGGUCUAAGAUGUCAAAAGUCAGCAGGACAUGUCUUCCUGUGUCAACCGCAAACAAGUUCCCAAAAGCCCUCUGAAACCAGCAAAACACACCAGCCAGAUUGGGAGUCCUACUAAGACUAGCAAAAAAUCCUUGGCUGGUUAAAGCUAUUUUUUAGCAGGAAGGUGUUGCAGUAUGUGUGUGCCAUUAAAUUUGAAACACUACAAACAUCAAGAGCACAGAAAACAUCACCCACCUGAUACUUGCGGUCUGCUUGGCAGUUUUCUUUCUACCGUUGGAGAGGAAGGUGGAAAAAUCGUGACCCAAACAGAACCUCAAACAGUCCCUCACAUUCAAAGGCAUCAGGAUGUUUUUGAAAGGUCAGGAAAAUAAAAAGAACAUGUGUGAUGCAACUGCUUGGAAAUGCAGAAAUUCAAAAUUCAUUAAAAGAAAAUAAGAUGGAAAGUUUUGUAAAUAUUUGCUUUUGCUUACUUAGAGGAACAAGGAAGAGUGAGAUCAGUGCCCAGUGCUAUAACCACAACCACACAAA